AGGAAACACACAGAAGGCAUCUGAUCUUUCACAUUAAAAUACACAGGGGGGAAAACGCAGGGCUGAAAAUAGCAGAAGAAAUAUUUUCGAGCUGUUUCCAAGGGCUUCCUCUCACCCCUGGAAUAAGAACUUGAUCUUCUACCUGGAUGGAUGUGUUUAUACUGGUGAUCUGGAGAUGGUGAAAGACUGGCUGAGUGACGGCCAUCUCUACUCCUGCAUUCUUCCUGUUCCCUUUCUGAGGGAAAGGCAUUAAGGAGACCACAUGACAAAUACCAACAGUGAUACAUAUGAGACUGGCUACAAGAUGAAUACAAGUCAUAAAAAGAAAGUAAAGCGACCAAAUAUCAAGUGGAACAAGAUAAGAAUUAUGAUGUUAUUUCACCUUUUAUCAUCUUAGAUAUGAAAAUUUUAAA
Molecule: long non-coding RNA, 413 nt
Organism: Jaculus jaculus (lesser Egyptian jerboa)
Lineage: Eukaryota; Metazoa; Chordata; Mammalia; Rodentia; Dipodidae
Exons: 3
Source: RefSeq, a predicted model, not a curated record